This 499-nucleotide ribosomal RNA is filed under the name uncultured bacterium. Its description in RNAcentral is "bacterial SSU rRNA". It matches the Rfam family "Bacterial small subunit ribosomal RNA", at positions 28 to 516 of the family's 1533-position model. The record is from RNAcentral.
GAUGAACGCUAGCGAUAGGCCUAACACAUGCAAGUCGAGGGGCAUCACAUGAAGUAGCAAUACGGAUGGUGGCGACCGGCGCACGGGUGAGUAACACGUAUGCAACCUGCCUUCAACAAGGGGAUAACCCGUUGAAAGACGGACUAAUACCCUAUAACACAGGGGUCCCGCAUGGGAAUAUUUGUUAAAGGACAACCGGUUGAAGAUGGGCAUGCGUUCCAUUAGCUGGUUGGUGGGGUAACGGCCCACCAAGGCAACGAUGGAUAGGGGAACUGAGAGGUUUAUCCCCCACACUGGUACUGAGACACGGACCAGACUCCUACGGGAGGCAGCAGUGAGGAAUAUUGGUCAAUGGACGCAAGUCUGAACCAGCCACGUCGCGUGAAGGAAGACGGCCCUACGGGUUGUAAACUUCUUUUAUACGGGAAUAAAGUGCCCCACGCGUGGGGUUUUGCAUGUACCGUAUGAAUAAGGAUCGGCUAACUCCGUGCCAGCAGCC